RNAcentral lists this long non-coding RNA (980 nucleotides) under Homo sapiens (human). RNAcentral describes it as "HSALNT0394093". Lineage: Eukaryota; Metazoa; Chordata; Mammalia; Primates; Hominidae. The record is from RNAcentral.
CUUUCUUUUUCAUGCACCUACUGACUUAGUUGAAUUCUCACAAUGACAAUAAAGGAAGUAAUCAUCUAAUAACAGCUACCAUCCAUGACACGUCUGCCAAUGCCAGCUCUUCAACCUGAAUGAUUUCAAUAGAUAGUACUGCUCCUAUGGGUAAUACACUUUUAAGAGUGGGAACUGAAGUUCUUGGAAAUGAAGGCUUGGUUUCCAGAUUUCCAAGAAUACAGCCAGCUACUCUGGUAACCAAUUUGUGCCAACAUGUUGAUUAAUGGAUACAAAUGUGCAAAUCACACCAACCUUUCUUCUCUCCUGGGUGAUCUGUAUGUUUUAGCUGUGAGAUGCCUUCUGGAGCUGUAAGGCUUGAUGCAAUGGAAAUAGCCAUUGUGGAACCCAACCGAGAACUCUUUGGUAGCACCCGCAUAUCACACUAAAUAGGCAACCACUUGUUGCAACUAACACUUAGUCAGCUUCUUUUGCCAGAUGGUGAAAGCCGUAGAUAAAAGAACCCAGAAAUCCAACCCAAACUAGUUACUGAAAGGGCCCGGAUAAAACUUGGCUCCACAGAUGCUCAUGAGCUGGGAAAUGGCAGGCAAACAUGCAGUGAGUUAUGGAAGUCAUGCAACAGCCCUGGCCUUCUCUGAGAUUCAUUUUUUUGCAGAAAGGAUAUAGUAACAGCUAAAUUGGGUCAGAUCUGCUGCAGUGGCUGGAAUAAAAUAACAAAGACAAAAGCUUGCUGUGCAAAGAAUUAUAGGACACAUGAAACCCCAUGAGACUAUCUAUGCUAUUAUUCACCAAGGCGAGCCUUAGAUGUACCCGGAGAGACGUCUGCCUUCACCACAAUUCUGGGUUUCAAGAUAAUGAUGUUGGAUGUUCCAGCCUCAGAACUGUGGUGAAAACUCCUAACAUCAUACCAGUGUCUUUGCAUAUCCCUGGCUAUUGGGUUGGUGAUAAAAUAAAGGGAGCACUCUAUACCUGCUCCAAAC